GUAAAAAGCAGUUCUGGGAAUUCAAAUUCCUUAUGCCCUAGUUAAACAUUAUUAGUCAAAAGCUACUGCUCACUAGAACCCCUUUCUAGAAAUCUAUCCUGUAAUACUGCAUAUAUAAUUCUUACAUCUUUAUCUAGGAUAUUUCCAAUUUUCAAAUUUGUAUAUGUGACCUAAUUAAACAAAAUAGCUCAAGAGGACUGAUAUUCUAAAUAACUAAUUCAUAAAUGUUGCUAAAAGUGGUAUAAUUUUAUAAUUUCCUGAAGAGAAACUAGACAAAAUUUCCUGUAACAUUACAAAUCUUAAAAGAAACAGGGUAGUUUUAAGUGUGACAGAGUUAAUUCAUGAAUGAGAUAUAUAGACUAGAAUACUCAUUUUUAAAAAAUGUUUAUUUUGAAGCAAAGGAUCAUUAUCUCAAUCUUUAGCUUGUACCUGGCAGCCUGUAUUUAAAGGGUUUAUUCUUCAUGGUGAUGGGGUGGGGUGGAUGUAGCUAAGAUAGCAGUUCCAGUUUUACCACUUUUAUUAAUUUUGUGCUGGGGUUGAAGUGCUCCACAGGAAAAAAAAGGAGCAUUGUUUCUAUGAACUGUAUAAAGGGGAGGGAAGGAGGAAAUGUUAGAAGGAUGAUUUCUCAAUUUUAUUUCUUAAAAGGCACUCUUGUGGUUGCAUUUCCUCCAAACCCAACCUUUUGUGUUCAGUUUGAUUAAAAUGCAUCCUUCUUGGUCUAACAGUAUCUGGAAAACUCGAGAAGGCUUUUUCCUAAACCAUCAGUAGGUCAAGCAAGAAAGUUAGCAGAGCUGAUUCUGCUGAUGUACCUUCCAUAACUGACAGUAUUCAUCUUUGAAAUGAUCAAGCCCUGGUAUUUUGACUGAAAAUGUGAAGUCUUUUAUAAGGAAAUGAAAAAAAUCUACUAAUUUUUUAUAAACACCCUAAAUUCUGAGUUUUUGCAUACAUGCCACUUGAUCUUCAUAAUUAUAUCAGUAAUACCACUGCAUAAAAACAUCAGUCAGAGGAAAUCUAAUUUAAUGUGAAAAUAGCUAUUCUGAGGAGAGGUGGGAACACUGAAGAGGUUCUGGAGUUACACAGACCUUCGCUAAGUACCAUCUCUGUCACUUACUAGCUUCAUCAUCCUGAAUGACUUAACUUCUCUGAGCCCAACCCUUUCAGUUAAUGUGCACAAAUCACCUAAAGUACCUAGUACAUAGUAGGUGCUCAAUGAAUGUUAGCUAUUCCUACCCUUUUGACAAAGAAACCAUUAGCUAGUACCAAAAUGAUAAUGGAGUCUUCCCUUUCCACUCAUCCUAAAGCAGGUAUUCAUGUCAUUCCCUCUUUUAUUUGGGCUUCAUAUUUAUCAACUGAGUUUUUGCGUACCUACAGUUGCCAGGUAGUAGGCACUGAGGGGGUCAAAGAGAGGCAACGUUGACAAGUGUCUUAGCCUGCUUUGUGCUGCUAUAGCAACCUGAGACUGAGUAAUUUAUAAAUAACAGAGAUUUAUUACAGUCCUGAGGGUUGGGAAGUUCGAGGUCAGGGGGACUUUUAUUUUAUAUGAGGUCCUUCCUGCUGCAACAUCCCAUGGCAGAAGGUAGAAAGGCAAGAGAGAAACCCGUGAGAAAGAAAGAAGGGAAGAGGGCCAGAACUCUUCCUUUUAUCAGGAACCCACUCCCAAGGUAAUGGCAUUAAUCCAUUCAUGAUGGCAGGGCACUUGUGACCUAAUCACCUCUUUAGGAUCCCACCUCUCAAAACUGUUGCAUUGAGGAUUAAAUUUCAAACACAUGAAAUUUGGGGGACACAUUCAAACCAUAGCAAUGUCCAAGCCAGUCUUUGCCCUAGAGAGGAAAGAGCACUUGAUGAUGUCAUCAGCUGAGACAAUAGCAGAAAGGAGAGCACAUCAGUGGGCUUGAAGGUGGAGCACCGAUAGACUGCAUUUCAGGUGAGUUGAGUUGGAUGGGGUCUGGGGAUAUGCAAGCAGAUAUGCCCUACCGGAAGUAGUUUUUAAUGGAUCUGUAGCUGUGUAGGGGGGCAGGGCUGGAGAAAGGCAUUUGGGUAUCAUGUAUGUUUGAGCUAUGAGUGGUGCAUAUAUUCUGACACUGCCAGAGGUUGGUCAGGGAGCCUAGAAGACUGGGAAGAACUGUGGGGUGAGAAGAAAGACCAGGGACACACUACUGCUUGGGAAUGGGAGAUAGCAAGGAGAUUUUCUGGGUGUCCCCUACAACCCUCAAAAGCAUUAUCUGCAGGUACUUCGGUUUUUAAAAUUAAUAUUAAAAUAACAAAUCCAAAAAUGUAUUUUCCUUGAAUUGAGAUCAACUAUAAAUCUUAUAUUCUAUUUAACAUUCUCUAAACUCUGUCAAUCUUCUGAAGAGUGAUCUUUUAACUUGGUUAAAGUAGUAGACAUUAAACAUUUCAAUAUAGCAUUAAAUACAGCAAAAUUAUCUUAACAUUUUUAACUUGAAAAUACAAAGUCUAAAUCAAUCAUCCAAUGACAUAUUUUAGAUUAGAAAUCACAAGGCUAAUCAUAUUAACACAUUAUCUUAAACAUAAUGAAUAUCUAAAAUAUUAAAGACUUUUCCCCAAACUUAUCUAAAAGUAUAAAUAUUUUUAUUUUAUUUAGUCCAUCAUAUUUACACUUAAAUUUUAAGUUUUCCCAUGGUUAGAACACUAUAUUAUAAGGAAAUAAUUUUGCUUUCCCCCAAAAUUUGGGGUUACCUUCUUAGCGCAUUUUCACUAGCAAGUUAGCCUGGGAUUUAGGAUCUAAUUUUCCCUAUGUAUACUUGAACGGACACUCUAUACUUUACGAAGGGUUCAGUCUUCUCAUCUAAGUCCCCAAGAUUUAAAUUACUUGUUAUCUAAUUCUCAAGUCAUCUUUGAUUCUGUAACCUUCCACAGAUUACCUUGCCAGUUGACCUGAAUCAAUGAAUAUGGUUACCAUUUAAUCCUACUCAGAAUUCUUUGCACACUCUUCCUUGCAGACAUAACUCAUAGAUAGUAUAGAACAUACAACUGGAUUCUGCAUCAUGAAAACCUCAGGGUCAAACUUGAUAAUAGAUGAUAGAAAAAUAGGGACUGGUCAUAGAAGUAGGAGAAGAAUCAGGAAUAAGAAAUGUAAUAGCAUAAAAGCAUCAAAGGAAAGGGAGAAUUUCAAAAAGGAAGACAUCCUCAAGAUCAAUAGCUUGAAAUGUAGCAAGGAGGUUUUUAAAUUAAAGGGGUGAAAUAUGACCAUUAGAAUUGAUCAGUGAUGUUUUCAUGUCACGAUGUGGACUAAAACCAAAUAGCAAUAUGUUGAGUGAACUGGAAUGGGAAUUGCAGUUAAAGGCAGCAAUUACUCAAGAACUCUUUAGGACAUUUUAUUUUAUAUUAUUUUAUUUUUAAAUAAGGGAAACAGAGAUGGGGCAGUAGCCAACAGGCUCAAAGGAAGACAUAUUUAUCUUGUAAGAAAUAAAUUUUUUCAACACCCCUUACCCCCACUUUUAUUUGGUUAGAGUUGAUAGAUUCAGGACAAAGACAGAAUUAAUUGGUGAAGCAAUAUCCCAGAGGAUGGAAGAUAAAAGUUAAGUCCACAUGAAAAAGUUGGCCUUGAACAGGAAAAGGAACACCUUAUCCUCUGAGAAUGAAGAGAAUGAGGAAAGGACUGAUGCAGAUGUAGAUAAAUUUGUGGACAUGGGUAGGGCAGGAGGCUGAAGUCGCUCAAGCCUAACUGCAUGACUGUCGCAAGUCCUAGCCAAUGCCUGCCAGGGGCACACGCAGUAUGCAGCUUCCCCAUUUCCAAGAACCGAAAGAAUGUGGACUAAGAUGAUGACAGCUCCAGGAACCAGCCCAGACGGAGCCACUGGAGAGCUUCCCCAUAAGGUAGCCAUACAUAUUAAUCACAGAUCAAAUAAGAGAAGAAAUCCUAGAUCCUUCUAUCCAACUCAGAUUUCUCACUUAAAGAAAAUGAGGCCAGAGGUUAAGACAGGCUCAAGGGCAGUUGCUAGCAUCUCUUAAGCUAGAAACCAGGUUUCUUGCCCCCAGAAUGAAGUCUCCCUUUAUUUUUUAAAAUUGUAUAUAGCCAAUUUUCUCCACCUUUUCCCCUGGCCAACUUUUCUUCAUUCUUCUACUUUUAGCACUUCACUUUCUCUGAAAAGCCUUCCUUGCCUUCUCCCUUCCCUCCCCUCUCCCAUUUAAAUCAUUUAAACAGGAUCCCAUUUAAGGAUAUUAUAUACCUCUUUGAUCUUUCCUUUGUUGUUCCACAAUUUAAAUUCUAUUUUUAUUUAAGGAUUAUUUAAUGUUCCUCUUUCCCAGUAGAUAUUACAGGGAUUCUGUUCACUUCUGUAUCCUGACCAUCCCAGAGUAUAAUGCUUAGCUUGUAGUUAGUGCUCAAUAAAAUUACGUUUAUAUAUGAAAUUAUAUUCAUUCUAGAAUACAUUUACAUACUGUUAAAGCAAAAUAAGCAGGGGGUCAAAAGACUGAGGCUGUCUCUGUGCUUUGAAUUCCUGUAUAACAAACUGUAAGCUAAUUUAGUAUAUAAACAAAUGAAAACUUAGGAGAAUAUUUUUUGUAACAAAUAGCUGGGUUUCAGCCAAUCAGAUGCAGCCAACUGACCAGACCAUACUCAACUAUGGCAAAUACCUAGCUGUAACCAAUCAAGUUAUUUCUGUAUUUUACUUCCAAGUUUAGCCAAUGUAAGCUCACUGCUCACUGUGGAGCAGAACUUGGAAUCUCUUUUGGUUCUGAGUGCUACCCAAUUCAUGAAUGGUUCUUUGCUCAAAUAAACUGCGAAAUUUAGUUAAUGUUUUUCUUUUAGAAACAUCAGGUACGUGGUGUGGGAGUAUAGAAUUCAAUAAUUUUAUUUGCAAAUUAAAGUUCUCUGUUUGUGAAAAAUAUGCUGUGGGCUUUCAGGAAGGCUGACAUACUUUCUUCCUAGUAUAUGGGAGAUGUUGAAUACAUAUUUGUUGAGUGAAUAAUAAUUUCUGAACUAUCGAAGUUUUAAUUUAUGGAAGAAAACCACACAUAGCCACUCAAAAUAAUUUAAAGAUCUUUUCUACAUCUCAAAAAAAACUUCUUAGGUAAGCAAAAUAAGAUUCUUCAAACAAUGUAAUUUAGAAUAAAUAUUAGGGUUCACCAAAACUUUGAAAAUAACUGGCUUACAAUGAAAAUACUAAGCAUAUAACUAAGGUAGCUCCGGUGAUAAUUUAUAACUAGAGAACCCAAUGUUUAAUUCCUAAAGUUUCACACUUUUGAAGCUUCUGAGCCAUCUUCUCUUAAACCCGACUUUCAGAUAUAAAAUGAACUCACCAACUUUUGGUGCAGAAAAUUCAUGCAUUUGCAAGUAUUUAAUAAGAAAAGCCAUCACCAAUGAAAUGCCUCCACCCUUUUCACAGGGAAGGUAAUUUGCAAACACAUGCAUGAAGAUUAGUACCAUACAGUAGGCAAAUAUUUUCCAUGUCCCACCCAAAGCAAACAAAUGAAAAUAGAAACUUCAAGGACAAUUAUAAAAUAUCUUUAAAUUUAAAGACACAGCACCCUUUUAUCCUUUGGCUCCACCUGUACCUUUAUCAGAAACACACAUUUCUUAAUCAGUUCCAACUGGGAAUUUCUAGCAGGAAAACAGUCUCAGUUGAUUGUGAGGUAAUUGAUUUUUUUCUUACAUUUCUUUACUCUCAAAACUUUAUGAAUCAAAAAACAAAUGGCUAGAAAGUACUAAUCUGUUGGUUGUAGAUAUUAAGAAACAUAAACAAGUUCCCCGGUAGUAGCUCUUAAUUAUAUCUACAGAUGCUAUGUUCUAACUCUUUCAUGGCAGUUUUAAUUUGGGAGAUGUUCAAUACAUAUUUGUUGAGUGAAUAAUAAUUUAUCACUGAAUCAGUGAAUAUCAAAAUGUCCCAAUGUUUAUGCAUACAAACUGUAUCUCCCAAAGUGUCAUAGUAUUGGCAUAAAAAUGCUUUGCCUUAUCCAUUUGGAAGAGAAUAUGAUCAGCGUUCUUGUGGCAAAGCAGAUAAUGGGUCUGUGUGCAGAUAUGGAAGGGUCAAGUUAUGGAGAACAUCAACCUUUGAGUUUCAGAGCAGACUGACUCAAAUAGCUCAUCCUGUUGUCCAUCCAACAUAUUUUGCAUUUCACUAGAAAAUUCAGUAACUAUAUGUCAUACCAAGAAUAAUAUAAGUCCGAUAGAUUAUUGCUUGGUCUGGGCAUAGCUGAACGAAAUGAGAAACAUAAAAUUUUCCAGGUACUUCUGAGGGUGCACAUAUACAGUCCAGGUCUGGGUUAUAUAGAGAUAAUACCAACUCUUUUAAUAACCCUCCAGGGCACAACAAUCUUGUCAUCUUGGAAUUUUCUAUGUGUUGUCUUGUAAUUUUCUGAUUCUAAGAUCCACUGGGGUGUGGUUCAGUCACAUUCCUUCCUGUUCUACUUGCAAUGAGGGUCUACUGGCUGCUCUUCCACGCUUUCUCUCCUUGACUACUACACAGUCUCUAUGUGAAGUUGGUAUUCAAGAAGCUUAUUGAGAAAUAAAUUUCUGCAUUUGCGAAAAGAACAAUGUAAGCUUACUGAAAGGCAGACUUACAGCUGACUGAGGAGAAAAUAAUUAGUGCUUUAAAUUUCUCCCUAUAUCAUUUAGUCAUUCAUUGCUUAAUAAUGGGAAUAUGUUCCAAGAAAGGUGUCGCUAGGUGAUUUUGUUUUUGUGCAAACAUCAGAGUGUACUUAUACAAACCUAGAUGGUAGAGCCUACUACACAGCUAGGCUAGAUGGUACAACCUGUUGCUCCUAGGCUACAAAUCUGUACCGCAUGUGACUAUACUACUGAAUACUGUAGGCAAUUGUAAACAUAUCUAAACAUAGUAAAUGUACAGUAAAAAUACGGUAUUAUAAUCUUAAGGCACCAACAUUGUAUAAGAGGUAUAUGACCCAAACGUUGUUAUGAGGUACAUGACUGUAUAUCAAAAUCCUAGUUUAAUACAAUUUAAAGGAAUAUCAUAGUUAUGAGGCUUAACGUUUUUUCCGAAUUUUAAGAUAAAAAAUAUAAAUGCAUUACAUGGAUACUUAAAUAUUUAAGGCAUUGUGAACCCGCACAGAAUUAACUAUUGGAAAAGAAAACUGGUUUGAAAGACUUUAGAACUGAAUCUUACACAAACAUAUGUGUGUGGGGGGGUAUACAGAGUCUAAAACAUCAAGCAGAUGGUAACGUAAAUAAUGUCAAUGUUUAGGAUAUGGAAAAUGUUCAGUUGAAAUAAAUUAAUAAAACACUGGAAACAAACACACCAAAUUUGCAAAAUGGGAGGCAGAGAGCAGAAUAGUUUCCUAGAGAUAGCAGCUCAUUUAGACGAUGAACACCAGAUGCCAAGUGGAGCUCAGUAGAGACAAAAGUGUCAUGAUUAGCUUCAGGGGAGGAGAAGAAAAGGACGAGGCACCAGAGGUGAGAUCCUAACACAGCCCUUUGCAGGCUGGGGCAACUCCCUAAUUGCCCCUGGGGAGCUACAAGGCAAGGGACAAAGUAGCCAUCAUUUCUCAUUUCGGUCAAAGGAGGAGGUUUAUAUCACUGAACAGUGAUUCAAAAGCCUCCAUCUGGCUGAACCCCACAACAUGAGGGGUUGACAAUGUGAAACACUGCUCCACGCCCAUAGUCAAGCCAGGGUUGGCUGUGUCUCUGUGAGAUAUGAAACAGUCCCUGAGACACACUGUGUGAAAAGGACCUAUGAGAAUUGUAGGACCAGAAAGUGUUGAAUAUAGUUGUGGGAAAUUACUGACAUUAUCAACAGAUUAAAGUUGAACGGCCAUGCCAUUUCCUUCCGGAAGUUCGGGAUAUUGGUAUUUUGUUGCAAGUGGGAAGGUACCUACUGACAUGCCCUGAACCCAAAGUUCAUUUCCCCAGCAUAACCAAUUAGGCAACUAACUUAUUCCUACUGUAUGUGUGAAAGACAGAGAGAGAACAUGAGCGAGCUCCUGAGAGUGCUGUGUAAGUACAAACCACAAAUGGGAGUCUUUCUUUUCCCCAAAUUUUAGUGUUGCCUCAGAUCUGAAAUCUAACUGAAGCCUGUCAAUUGUUGUACUGCAUGUUUCACAAUGCAUGAACGUGAUACUGGACACUGACUCUGAGUUCAAGCACAAAUUUACUGGAGGAGAAAGACAUAUUUAUUUAUGAGGCCUUCCAAGUAAAGCCAAAUUAUUCACAGAUACAGUGAGUGCUAGAGGAGACUUUGCUUGUAGGAGAAAGAAUUCUAGACCACAAGCCAGUAUAUCCCUUGGUUCUAGUCUUGGUCUUGCUCUUAAUUUAGGGUUAUGUGACUUUGGCCACCCCAUUAGUCCUUCUAGACCUCAGUUUCCUCAUGUGUGAAAUGAAGACGUAGAACUAAAUGAUCUCUAAAGCCCUUUUUGGCUCUAACAAUCUAGAAGAUAUUCGGAAGAGGGAGCAAUCAUUUUAGGACAGAGGAUCAGAAGAUUCUAUGAUAGAAGAAGGGCAGUUUGCUCUUCUGCAAAGUCUGCUUUCCCUGACUACAAAAGUAAACAUGAGAGUUGCAAAAACUCGAGUACAGAAAUGUCAAAUAUAGUUUGUAAAUGCCCCUAUAAUCUUCACUGUUAUUUGUUUAAAAUUUAUUCUUCCAGCUAUUUUCUGUUAAGAGCUAAUUAUAAUCAUUCCUAUUUUAUUAAAAUGAAACACUAAGUGCAUUUUUCUUCAACAAGUUUUUAAAAACUUAAGACUAUAUCCUGAAUAUUUCUGUCAUGUCAUUACACAUACAUCUCAUUUUUAAAUCAGUGCAGAGUACUGCACUGUAUCUACAUACUGUACUUCUUUUUCUGAGAUGGAGUCUCACUGUGUCACCCAGGCUGGAGUGCAAUGGCAUGAUCUUGGCUCACUGCAACCUCUGCCUCCCGGGUUGAAGCGAUUCUCCUGCCUCGGCCUCCCAAGUAGCUGGGAUUACAGGUGCCCACCACCAUGCCCAGCUAAUUUUUGUAUUUUUAGUAGAGAUGGGGUUUCACCAUGUUGAUCAGGCUUGUCUUGAACUUCUGAACUCAGGUGAUCUGCCCACCUUGGCCUCCCAAAGUGCUGGGAUUACAGGUAUAAGCCAGCGUGCUUGGCCUACAUAUUGUAUAUGUUGAUGAUAUAUGGAUUUUUUUCAUCACAAACAAUACUGCAAGAAAACUUGUAUACCCAAGUCCUAAUAUUCAAUCUUGACACCUCUUCCCUCACUUCCCAUUUCCUAUCCCAUUACCAGGUACUGGUGAUCUUAUUGACUAUCCUAGGAACCCAUCCACUUCUCACUCUAUAAUUGCCUCUACUUUAUUCAAGAGGAGAAUCAACAUCUUCUUCUGCAAUAGUCCCUUAAUUGAUCUCUUCUCUCCCAGUCUUGCCUUCUUCCUACACAGCAGCCAGGGAUGCAAAUCUUAUUACUCCUCAGUUUAAAACCUUCAAUAGCUUCUCACUGUUCUUAAAAUAAAGACCACCAACUAUAAGGUUGUAUUGUCUGCAAUUUGCUAAUUUAUGGUAUGUCAGCGUAGACAGUUUGGAAUUUAUGAGUGUGCUUUUAAUCUGUGCUUUAGGAUGUAGAUUAAAUGAGUUGCCCCAACAGGAAUAUAUAUUCAGAAAUGAAAUAUAUUUCAGAUAUUAUAUUUCAUUAAUAUUUCAGAUAUAUUUCAAAAUAUAAAUAUAAUAUUUCAGAAACGAAAUAUAAUCAGAAGGCAGAGAUGGCUUGUACAGGUAUGCUAGCCUCAUUAUUUCCACUCAACACAAAGGACUUUAUGAGUUUGCAAAAUGGAUGUUAGAAGUUAUUUUUCCUUGGUGAAAUCAGUUUUGUAUGAGUGUGGACUGGCUAGAAAUAGUGUAGUGAGAGGCACUCCCACUCUUGCAUCAACAAUGUGAUUACAGCAAUCCAGUAUCUUUUACCCUUCCCAAUGUUCCUAGUGCUUGUUUCUGAGAAAUGGCUCAUUCAGUGGCCGGUUCAAAGCAUUCUUGCUGCUUAAAUUAAGCUCUUAGGUGACCUCAACUCUUCUUCUAGAAGAGUGUCACAUUUGUCUUUCAUGAACUUUCCAUGAAGAUACAGUUGGAGAAACCAAAAGAAUAGAAGGAGGGGCCUCACCAAGCUUACAGGACAGGAUGUAUGAUUGUUUUUAUUCCUGCUUACUAAUCAAACUUGGAUUGUGAGGGUGAAUCGAACCCGAGACCAAGUGUUGAGGCUGUGAGGAUGGUUUCUUUAUCCUCACCCACCUCCAAAUUCUGGAGUUUUUAACAUCCACUGAGAGGGACCUGGUAGAUAUGAAGGACCAGGUUAGCUGAGGUUGGUUUUUAGCAUGUGGUCUGCAAGGCCUGCAGGAUGAAGCUACUGUCUACUUCUCUUGGUACUCCUCGUGCUCAAGACAUUUCUCAGAACACCAUCCCCCCAAGCCAUAUCAGCAUGCCCUUCGCCCUCCCCUCUCUGGGGCUCCCUUUGCCGGGUAAGAGUCCACUCAUCCUGUGGAUCCCAGCUGGACAUCCCUUCCUCAGGGAAGCCAUCCACACCAGUAUGGUUAUUGCAUCAAUACCUGUCUCCCACCAAGAUUGUGUCCAGGUCCAUUUUGUUCACCUUUGUAUCCUCACCACCUGGCACGGUGCUUGACCUCCGCAGAUGCUUGUUCAAUAAAAGGGUAUUUAGGUUUUAUUCUACACAUUGAUAGAAAAAAAAAAAGCUUUUUGUGGCACUAGGUUCACUAAUUGGAAUGGGCCCUCCAGUAUAAGAACAUUUUACAGUAAUAUUUUUUCAAAACUCCAAUUCACAAAAUGAAGAAUGGAGAAUAUACUAAAUAUGAAAAGUGAGGCCACGGCCCUCUCUUUUAAAUGUUAUAAAUGCCACCUUUGUUAUUUUGAAAACUCUUCAUGGAACUGAGAAUCAAGAAAAGGUCACGUUCUUGAGCUUUAAUUUCUCCAUAUUUUACAGUUUUCUUUAGUCUCCCUACUUAUACUGUGAUCAUUUCAGCAUGUAAAUAAGUUCUGCUUUCUCUGUGAACUCCACUGUUGCUUCCUUUCCUCAAAUUCAGUCCUUGGCAUCCUCUCUGCCUCACACUAAUACAAACAUGGAAUUGAUUAUAGGUUUUACCCUAACAAGUUCUUUACAUGCUUGGGGUAUAUUUAGAAACAUUUGAAACUAUCCCUGGACAGAUAUUUAAGUAGACAAUUUCAUAAUGAGGAAAUUUACAUCUCUAGUUAGAAAUUCAGGGGAAAUCCCAAGAGUUUAAGCUUGAAAGCUUCCUGCUAUUUCGUGUGGCUUUUAUAUAAGGUCAAGACGAGGGGAGCCAGGAGAAGGUGUGUGUAGUUUGAGCCCCUCCCUCAUUCUUUCUUUCCAUCCUGUACCUCCCAUUCUGCUCUAGUCCAGAUGUAUUUUACAUUUGAGAAAAUGGGAGGCCAUAGAGGCUGAGACUCAGAUUAUUUAAACAUUUACUAAGGGCGGGCUGUGCUAGGUAGACACACAUUAGAGGAAGUAGUUAGCGUCCCAGUUUUACAGAUGAGAAAACUGAAAUCCAGGAGUAGUUAGCGUCCCAGUUUUACAGAUGAGGAAACUGAAAUCCAGGAAUUUUAAGUAUUUCUGAGGUCCCACAACAAAUGGCAGAGCCAAAAUUCAAACCCGAUGAGAGUCCAGCCCUCAUUACCGUCUCUUCUGGGGCAGCCAGGCCUGACUCCAAGUGGGCCAUAGCUUCUCCUCUUUUGAGACUUACACAAGAAGUACAGUGGAACAAAUGGCUUAGUGAUGGAAGAAAAUACAACCCCCACACCCAGUUUCUUUCCAAAGGGCUCACUUAAACUGAAUAGAGGGUAAGCACCUGCAGAGGUGAGUACUGAUUUAAUGCAAACAAAUGUGCAUAUGAUGCUGUCAUCUGUGUUUGGGAGGAUGAAUCUCAUAAUUUCUGACUUAUGGGCGCGGGUGUACUUGUGCCUCGCCUAGUCAUACCUGCCAUUAGGGGACCUGCGAUGUGCUCCAGCCGUGGAUUCUUGAGUUUGUAUUUGUUAGCUUGUUUUGCUUGUUUGUCUAGUUAACUCUUAAAGGGCAAUUGCCUGUCAAGGGUUGCAGUUUCAGUAAUUUUAUUCUCUAAAGCUAUUUUAGUUUUUUUUUUUUUUGGUUAUAUAAAAGUAACACUCCUUUUGCCCCAUUAAAUCUUUGAAUCUAGGCAGAUUCAAAGGCAGAGGGUAUUAAGAAAACAACUCUCUAGCUCCCUCACCAGUGAGCUGUGACUUCUCUAUCUGCCUUUGUUUUCAGGCUCACCUCCCCAGCGCCACAAUUUAGCCCUGUGCUGCAGCACCAGGAAAUACUUGUGUUUUAUCUUCCAACAGAGAAUGCAUGGCAUCAACAGUAGUGCCUGAACUCAUUUUACAGCAGGGGGAUCAGGCUUGGUGGGGCCUCUGCCUGGGCUGCAGUGGAUCUCUUCCAUUUUUACUAUGUCCACCCCUAGAACACUUGGCUUCCUUUGCCAAAACCAAAUCCUGGUGAGCAUCAUAAAACUUGUCUUGUCAAGUUUAAAAGAGAAUGCAGAUAAAUUGUAACUGCAAUCUUGACGGUCUAGCCAAUUAACUCUGUUUUAUUAUUCUCUUUGGAAAUGACUAUAGCAUUAAAUGCGUUUGUCACAUGCCAGGUAGCCAGCAAACCAGGAUUCAAACCCAGGUAAUGGCGGCUUUAAAAUGUGAACUCUUUCAACUUCCCUACACUGCUCACCAGUGGCUGGGAGACGCUGCCACAGGGAAAGGAACAGCUCUGAAGUGGUUGAGUGAAAAAGCACAGGACAGGAAGGUUAUAGACAUGGGUCCCAGCCCUACAACAACCUCCAACUUAUGGGAGAUCCUUUAAGAGGUCCCAUUCUCUCUUUAGGCCUCAGUUUUCUUAUCCAUAAAAUGAGGGGUUUGGACCACUGAAGACCCCUUCCAGGUCAUGAUUCUGUCAUCUACGGACUUUUUUUUUUUUUUUUUUUUUUGAUACUGAGUCUCGCUCUGUCACCUAGGCUGGAGUGCAGUCCAGGUUCAUGCCAUACCCCUGCCUCAGCCUCCCGAGUAGCUGGGACUACAGGCACCUGCCACCAAGCCCGGCUAAUUUUUUGUAUUUUUUUAGUAGAGAUGGGGUUUCACUGUGUUAGCCAGGAUGGCCUCGAUCUCCUGACCUCAUCUAUGGACAUUUUUAAAGCCUCAGCUUAGUUGCUUAAGAAAUAGGCUUAGAAAUUGAAUUGAAAAAAAAUAAAAAUCUUUUCAUCAUUCAAAGAAACAAAGGAAUGGACGGCAAAAUUGCUCACAUCAUUUGAAAUUUGAAGUGUGGUUUGUUGCCAUUGGGAUCAACAUAUGGAUUCAAUAAAAUAAGAAAAUCAGGCAGGGGAGGAAAUCAGUUUUUAAUGAGGCAUUUUCAAUUUUCCAUGAAAUAAUUACUUCAAACCACCAAUAUAAACUUUGAAGCAUCGUUCUGAAUUUGGCACAGUGUAUAUGAAAAAAGUCAAACCAAAGUAAACCAAAGACUGAUCAGUUUGAUAAUCUCCUCCAAAGACCAAAUAGAAAACCUGCAAAGUGCUUUAGUUGGACAGAUAGAGAAUUGUGCUUGGAGCCAGCAGGCCUGGGUUCAAGUUUUGGCUGAAUCACAUCUCCAAGUCUGUGUCCUUAACUAUGAAAUGAUCAUCAUAAUCCUACCUACAUAGAUAUCACAGGGUUGUUGGGAAGGCCUAAUAAACAGAACUACAUAAAGAACUAUUUCAUUACAAAUAAUUGCCUGCCAAAAAAAUUUCCCCACUAUUUACAUGGACAUACAGAUUUGGAAUUUAAAUGUUUGAAUUACCUCUUAGCAAAAGCUGAAAAACUGCUAUAAUGAAAAGGAAUGGGGGAAGCUGCCUUUAAACAAACAACAAAACCACAAUCACCAAAAAGUAUCCUUCUUUUACAGUAGCAAAGAAUUGCAAAGAUAACAUCCCAGCCUGAAGGUUGGGAAGCACAGUUCAGAACUUGACAGUCCAGAAUCAUGUUCACAUUCUCUCUUUAUUCCCUUAGAAGAUCUGGCAUCGAGUCCCAUGGAAGGUGCUUUGAAAUGCCUCCCAGAUUGCAUCCUUCUCCUCUAUUUCCUCCAUCUUUUCCUUGGUCUGAGUUCUCUUCACAGGACAGCUAAAGGACAGCAAAGCCUAAGCAACAACCAGGGUCACUGCUGCCAGGCCAGCCUCAGUACUGCCCGAUUAACCUUUCUAACAAGCAGACUUCAUCAGGCUCCACAGCGAUUCCAUCAGUCUCACAUAACUUCCUUUUACUGCCAAAAACGCACCCCUACUCUAGUCCAGCAAUCCCUCCACUUGCUUUCAUACCUGUGGCAUUGAUUCCAGCCCAGCGUCCAAGCUUUCACUGUUCUCCCUGCCUAGAAAGCUCCUCCACCCUCAUGUAAAGGACCUCUUCAAGAAGAACUAGAAACCACUGCUUAAGGAAAUAAGAGAGGACACAAACAAACAGAAAAACAUUCCAUCCUCAUGGAUAGGAAGGAUCAAUAUCUUGAAAAUAGCCAUAUUGCCCAAAGUAAUUUAUAGAUUCAAUGCUAUUCCCAUCAAACCACCAUUGACAUUAUUCACAAAAUUAGAAAAAAAGCUAAUUUAAAAUUAAUAUGGAACCAAAAAAGAGUCCAUACAGCCAAGACAAUCCUCAGCAGAAAGAACAAAGGUGGAGGCAUCACGCUACCUGACUUCAAAUUAUAUUACAAGGCUACAGUAACCAACACAGCAUGGUACUGGUACCAACACAGAUAUAGAGACCUCAGAAAUAAGACCACACAUCUACAACCAUCUGAUCUUCAAUAAACCUGACAAAAACAAGCAAUGGGGAAAGAAUUCCCUAUUUAAUAUGUGGUGCUGGGAAAACUGGCUAGCCAUAUGCAGAAAACUGAAACUGCACCCCUUCCUUAAACCACAUAGAAAAAUUAACUCAAGAUGGAUUAAAGACUUAAAUGUAAAACCCAAAACCAUAAAAACCCCAGAAGAGAAUCUAGGCAAUACCACUCAGGACAUAGGCAUGGGCAAAGAUUUUAUGAUGAAAUCGUCAAAAAUAAUUGCAACAAAAACCAAAAUUGACAAAUGGGAUCUAAUUAAACUAAAGAGCUUCUGCACAGCAAAAGAAACUAUCAUCAGAGUGAACAGGCAACCUAUAGAAUGGAGGAAAAUUUUUGCAAUCUACCCACCUGACAAAGGUCUAAUUUCCAGAAUUUAUAAGGAACUUAAACAAAUUUACAAGAAAAAGACCAAACAACUCCAUCAAAAAGUGGGUAAAGGACAUGAACAGACACUUCUCAAAAGAGGAGAUUUAUGUGACCAACAAACAUAUAAAAAAAGCUCAUCACUGAUCAUUAGACAAAUGCAAAUCAAAACCACAAUGAGAUUCCACAGCAUACCAGUCAGAAUGGUGAUUAUUAAAAAGUCAAGAAACAGUAGAUGCUGGCAAGGCUGUGGAGAAAUAGGAACACUUUAACACUGGUGGUGGGAAUGUAAAUUAGUUCCACCAUUGUGGAAGACAGUGUGGCAAUUCCUCAAGGAUCUAGAACCAGAAAUACCAUUCAACCCAGCAAUCUCAUUAUUGGGUAUAUACCCAAAGGAAUAUAAAUAAUUCUAUUAUAAAGAUACAUGCACAUGUAUAUUUAUUGCGGCACUAUUCACAAUAGCAAAGACGUGGAAUCAACCCAAAUGUCCAUCAGUGACAGACUGGAUAAAGCAAAUGUGGCACAUAUACACCACAGAAUACUAUACAGCCAUAAAAAAGAAGCAUGAUCAUGUCUUCUGUAGGGACAUGGAUAAUGCUGGAAACCAUCAUCCUCAGCAAACUAACACAGGAGCAGAAAACCAAACACCACAUGUUCUCACUCAUAAGUGGGAGUUGAACAAUGAGAACACAUGAACACAGGGAGGGGAACAACACACACCGGGGCUGUAGGGAGGGCAGGGGGAGGAGAGUAUCAGGAUAAAUAGCUAAUGCAUGCAGGGCUUAAUAUCUAGGUGAUGGGUUGACAGGUGCAGCAAACCACCAUGGCACAUGUUUACCUAUGUAACAAACCUGCACGUUCUGCACAUGUAUCCUGGAACUUAAAAUAAAAUAAAAUUAAAAAAAAAAACCAAGCUAAAAAAAAAAAAAAAAGAAAGAAAGCUCUUCCACCCUCCUUCACCUAUCUUAAUACAAGUCAUUUCUCCAAGCUCCCUUUAGUGCAGGGCUCUGCAUUUACUGUGGUUAUGCAAUCAUCUGGGAGAUCCUGUUAAAAUGCAGGUUCUGAUUCAGUAGACUGGAGGUGAAGUCAGGACUCUGCAUUUCCAACAAGCUCCCAGAUGGUUAUGAUGCUGCUGGUCCAUGGACCUCACUUCGAGGACCAAAGCUUACUGGCUUAUUGGAAAAAAAUGGAAAAGGAAUAGUUUUUUGAGAUACAUGGACAUGGGUUUAAAUGUCAUCUUGAUUAGGUUUUAGCUGUGUGACUAAGGGCAAAUAACUUCCCUUGUAUAAUGGGAAUAUUACUUAAUUUAUAUAAAUGACGUGAGGAUCUUUUGAGAUAUUAACAGAUACUAUUCUAAAUAGGGCUUUCUCUUGGCUCCCCUGAACUCAUCACUUCAUCCUCUAUUAAGCUUCUCUGAUUAUCCAGUCUUACUUCUCUUUACUUGGAAUUUUAUUGCUUAAAUAACAUGUGUGCACACUGCAACCAUAUAUAAAUGAGACCAUAUGUUCUUUGAGGGCAUAAUCAUGUUUGAUAUUUCUCUUAGCAUAUAAAUCAUGAAAAAGUUUUACUAAAGUUUGAUUUUUUUUUCACGCAAAACUCUGAGCCGUAUAAUACUUAGUAAUACCACCACCCUUCACUGCAGCAUUAUGUAGGGAGGCAGAGCUCCGUCGUGGUACUGAGCACAGGCUUUGGAGUCAGACACACCCAAGUCCCAGUGUUGGAUUCAUCACUCACCAUCUGUCCUGCCUAAUCCAGACUAACAUGUCUGGUUCUCAGUUUCUUCACCUGUAAAAUAGGAAUUUUGCCUUAACCUUCAGUGCUAUUGUGAGAAUUAAGUUAGACAAGUUACAUAAGGUACGAGGUGUAUAUUAUAAAUUGUGAAAAAGGCCAUGAUUCUCCAUCCCUCCCUGAAUCCAUGCCAUUUUCUAAUGUAACGUUGCAGUUCCUCCCAUUAAAAAGUGGGGUCUAUUUCUCCACCCCUUGAAUCUGAGCUGGCUUCUCGAGUUGCUUUUGAAAUAGACUGGAGUAGAAGUGAGUUGUGUCAGCUUGAAUUUAGGCCUCAAGGGGCGUUGCUUCCAUUCUCUCUUGCAACCAAGUUGAGCCAACAUGUGAUGAACCCAGGCUAGGCUGCUAAAUCAUGAAAGACGUGAGGCUCAGCUGCUCCCCACGUGACAUGGCCGAUGGUCCGCCAAUACUCAGAGGCAGAGCUGCCUUGGUGUCCACAGAUGCAUGGAGGAAACUGGAAAAGAACGUAAUUUGCCCACCCAAGCCCACCCAAACUGCUUAUCUACAGAAGCACAAGCUCAAUAAAUGGUGGUUAUUUUAAGCCAUUACGUGUGGGGUGAUUUGUUACACAGCAAUAGAUAACUGAUACUGAAUAUAUAAGUAAUUUCUCAAUAAACAGUGGCUAUGUUUUGGACAAUAUUAUACUUAAUAUAGAAUGAGUUUUUCAUAGUACUAACAUUUGUGCUUUUUAGUCAGAAGUAGGAACAUGACUAAACCAGGAAUUGGGACUCUGAGAUUCCAGUCCCAGCAGUUUUUCCAAUGGGCAGCUGUAUGACUUUGGACAAAUCAAUUAACCUCUUUGAGACUCAGUUUCCUCACCUGUAAAUUAAGGUGGUUAGACCAAGUAACUUUUAAGGUUCUUUUCCAGCUCUAAAAAGGAUCAAGGGUCCUUUUUACCAAAAGGCAGUACUUCUUCCUUUCUAACAGAUAGUUUUGAACACAAUUUAAUGUUUUUCUUGUAGACUUAGGGUUUAAUCACAGACCACCUUCACUGUAUUGUCUUUGCUGCCUAGCAUUUGGCUGUAACCACAUUUCAUACUUAUCACAAGAGCUGUACAUUGAAACUAUAAAGUAGAUCUUGCUGUGGACCAGGAACCCAGGUAGCCAAGCUCAUUAGGAAUCAGAAAUGAAAUAAUGCCAAAUAAGUUCUAGUGGGAAUCUUAAGUAUGUGACUCUUAACAACAAUUUGAAGGUGCAGGUGGACUUCUUUUAUGCAUUUCUAGGUUACAAUACAUAUUCUGGAGGACUAAGGUUGUUGACAAUCUGACCAAAUAAAAGCAGUACUAUUUCACAGCUAUACAGAAUCAAAUCUUUGUAUUUAUUGCACGUUAAUAACCAAGAUAUAUGAUACUCAGUUAUCAAAUGAGGGAAAACAACACCAAAAUCAAAUUUCAAAACUCCUGUGUGUAGACAUCUACUCCACAACUAGUGAUCAAGUGAAUAAAUUUAAAAUACAUCCAAAUACACAUUGUAUUAAAAAGCUAUGCAUGCGGCAAUGAGUCAAUAACCAAGGUGACUUUUGUUUGUUCACAGGCAUUAUGUAUAGCCUCUCACACGUCACUAAUACUCUUACAAAUAUAAUACAGUCCUCUCUGUGACAUACAGCAGGCCAUGUUGUGGUCAACUGAAAACAAUAAAAAAGAAAGGCUGUUCUACUGUCCAUUUCCACUAGUGUUAAACAAUCAAAUGUCAGGGUGUUUUUACUCCCAGAAGGAGUUAAGCUAAAUCAGAGAAUGUGUAUAUAAUAUGAGGGCAACAGUUUACUUCAGCUUUGCCUUCAGAUGUAGAUAUUUAAGUCUGUAGAAAGAAGCACUAGGUUGUUGAAAAUGUGAAAUAUAAUUGGCUAUUUAUCAGAAACCUUUUUCUGUGAUUAAAAACCAUGAGGAGCUCUAGAGGAACUAGAAUCCACAUGAACAUUGCAAUGAAAUGUGGCUUACAUUUAUCUACCUAGAGAAAAUGUAUUUUGAAAUGACAUGUAAAUUGACGUCAGAGAUUCAAGUCAAUUAAUGGGUUCUUACAGUUAAAAUCUUAAAUACCAGUGCUUCUUUAACUAUCUUUCGAAUCAGUUCACUUCUCUCUCUCCUCUAAUUUAAAUUUUUGCCGCAGCUGCCUUUGGUCUUGGUUGUAUCUUUCCUGUUUCAUUCUCAUUGCAGCCUGCAUGAACUCUCUAAAAUAGAGAUCUGCUGUGCUUAAGAUCCUUCAAUGGUUUCUCCCAAGAUAUUGGGAUCUCUGAAGACAAGGACUGUGUCCCCAGAAACUCAUCGACUCUCUGGUGUCUCUGGGUCUACGCACAUGAUGUCUCCAAGGCCAGGUCAGGGUUUUAUUAAAUUUUGUAGAACCACUUGUACACUGAACAGAACAGAGUUCAGCACUUCUGAUAAAGUUUGAGUGAGAUACAAUAUUCCUUUUGUCAUUUGUUAAUAUUCAUUGCAGCUCUGGAACAUCUUUUCUACAAUGCCUGACAACACUGAGUCAGAGUUUUAAUUUUCUGUUUCAGGACACGUAUUCAUUGGCUUGGUGUUUUACGUAUGUUUUAGGAAAGGAUUAUUUGAUAAUCUACAGUCCUGAAGAUUUUAACUAACCUCUGUGGGACUAUGAUAUUCUCGGGUGAAAAGGGUACAAGUAGAUGAGCGAUUUCAUUUUCAGUUUAUUCUCUUAAAUAGCAGUCAGAGUAAGAAAGGCUACAACUGGAGACACAGGAUGGCUCAAUGGUUAAGAGCAGGCACUCGAGAAAGACUACAUCUGACCUGCACAUAGGUGAAGACUCCAAGUCGGCUUCCCCUAGGAUGACCCCUUUAACUCAACUCUUUUCUACACACCUACAAAGUCUCUCUGUAAGCAUGUAAUCUAAUGACCAAAAAGAAUGACCAAAAAGAAAAUCUGCCUAAUGACCAAGAAAGAAAAGCAGGACAUAGGUACUAGUUACUAUUUAACCAAGACUGUAAAAGAUCCCAAGAUUCAGGGUUACCAGAAAAAUUGUGUAACUAGGGGAAUGUGAAACACAGUCUAGGGAGAGGAAACCUAGCUACUGGAAGGCUGGUAUUCAAUUAUUUGGAAACUGGCGUCUAUUCCAAGAAGCACCGUGAAUGGGCUUCCGGGCACCAAGAGCGGGCUGUUCUAGGAGGAAAGGGGCCGGCCCUACCUGUGCUCUGCCCUUGGGCUGCAAAUGGAUUCUGGCCGGAGCUUAGCCAGGUUGUAUUUCCGGCUCAGAGAGGGUCUGGGUGGGACGUCAAGGGAAUCAUUCCAUGUUUAGGAUAAUGGAACGUGUUGAGUUGGUAUGCAAGGUUUUGUCUUCAAUCCCAGAUAUCCAAAAAGCUCUUUGAAACACAGGAAAGAUUGGCCCUAUUUCUCUUUAGGUAUCAUUAUUUAUCUAAAUCUCCGGAGCCAUUGAGGACCAAGAUCAUACUUGCUGAAUAAAUGCACGGAGCAGGAUCAGAGGAUAGACACAGAAUGGGCCAAGAAGAGAAAUAUUAUUCCUCAUAAGAGCUUGCUUGAUUGCAACCACCAAGGACAUCCACAAACCAGGGCAAGAAGGACCAUCCGUAAUUCUUUCCCAUAAAUAGUGACAGGAAGAAAAUAAACGCCCUAUUCUUCAAUGAUUUGAACCACCUCUGGAGCACAAACUUUCUCUAAAUUCACAGGGCAAAUAUCCAUCAUGGGGCAGGUAUCUAUGCUGCCAUGGAAAGUAACAUAAAAUGUACUAAGUCAUCACAGGGAGUUUUAAUUUUGUUUUUAAGGUCAAUUGCCAUGCUGGGGUAAAAAGCAUUGAUCCUUGCCUUUUAUCACCGGAAAAAUUCUUCACCAGUACUUUGUGAAAAUCUCGCCUCAUCAGGGCUGCCAAGGUCAAUGCAACCUAAGUAACCAAGCUGGGAGAUGCUUGCCUAAUUAUUAAAUAUUUAGCAAACAGUUUGUGACUAUUUAACUGUUUGCACCUGGCACCCUCUUUUCACUACGUGAGGCCUCCUGGCACCCUGACCUCUUCCCCCACCCCUACCCACUGCCCAGGCCGCCAGCACCCCUGGGGGGCAAAUACCGGGACCCAAGGGCAUUUCAAAGAAACAGCAGAGGUCACAUUCCAUUUCCUUUUUAUUAAAAAACAUACUUAAAAUGGGGGAGGAGGGCACAGAUCUAAGGUAAAAUCUCUUGCAGUUUUUUCAAGUUCGCAUGCACCGUUGAAAGUUCAUUAGUUAGGGAUUUAAAAGCAAAAAUGUUUCACACAACCAAUUAAACGCCAAGCUUUACAAA
Molecule: long non-coding RNA, 21149 nt
Organism: Homo sapiens (human)
Lineage: Eukaryota; Metazoa; Chordata; Mammalia; Primates; Hominidae
Gene: PGCKA1-AS1
Product: PGCKA1 antisense RNA 1
Exons: 2
Source: RefSeq, a predicted model, not a curated record